AGUGGCCUAGUGGGUGAGGCGACCGCCUGGUGACGCAGGGGACGUGGGUUCGAGGCCGG
RNAcentral lists this transfer RNA (59 nucleotides) under Oxyrrhis marina. The record is from RNAcentral. Lineage: Eukaryota; Dinophyceae; Oxyrrhinales; Oxyrrhinaceae.